Molecule: long non-coding RNA, 2874 nt
Organism: Apis cerana (Asiatic honeybee)
Lineage: Eukaryota; Metazoa; Arthropoda; Insecta; Hymenoptera; Apidae
Source: RefSeq, a predicted model, not a curated record
GAGAGAGAGAGAGAGCGAGAGAGACGUUUCGAGAGCCCCGAUUUAAUUAAACCGCUUAUACAACGGUCGCUGGGAAAUUGAAGCGGGAAGAAGAAGCGUGGAGGCAGCUGCGGGUCGCAAUUAUUUCUAGUUCCACAUCCGACACACGCGUGACACCGUGUUGUCGUUGCUCGCUUCGGCUCGAGGGGUCACGCUCUAGCUCUCGCAACUCGGAUGUGUGUUUACAUGUAUCUAGUUUAUACGUUCUUUUUGUUCGCGUGUGUACGUUGGAAACAUCACUCGAGCGCCGCUUCUGCUACUACGUAUACCAAGUUUGCCCGACAAACGCUUUCGUCUACGCUCUAAGGCUUCUUUCUACGACGUUUCGUCGAGAGAAAUCGUUGUUGCGAGUUAUAAAACGUCAUUCGACGUUUUUGCGAUGGAUCACGGCGAAGAGAUGUUGGUGAAUCUUGAAGGAAUUGAUAUUGGAUCGAUCGGAUUCCGAUGAAUUCCCUUGAGCUUCUCUCCGCAACGUCACUUUAAUUCCAUAUACGACCACCAUCGUUCAAACUUCAUUCAAACUCCUCCAACCAGGUACAUUCAAAAUAUAUUUCCAUAAAAUUAGAGAGAAAGAGAGAGAGAGAAAAAGAAAGACAGAAGAAACUAAUCUUCAUACCAAAAAAAAAAAGAAAAAAAUGUUCAAGUCAACUCCAAUUGACCGAAAGGAUCAAGUCUGGGCUUAAGAAAGAUUUGGUGAAGAAAAAGUAUAGGUAGCCAACUAUAAAUCAGGCCCAUGGAAGGAUUACGUGAACGUUGUUGGCAAUGAUGGUACAUGGAGGCUAACGAUCGUCAAAAGUCAGGAAGCUCGGUCGUAAAUUCGUCUAAGACAUUUAUAGACGGACACCUCGCGGCCGGAAAUUCUUCCUAGACCUCUAGCCGAGCCUUUGCAACAGACCUAACCUAAUCUCACAAGUGAUCGUUAAUUUGACAACAGAGUUUCUCGAACUCUGUGUAAGCAUUGGAUCGUUACGUCCAGACCUGUCUCGUUAAUUGUUGGAACGAUUUGGUUGGACAAUGAUAAAUAAUGCCAGAAGAAAAAUCUAUAAAGAUGAUUUCACAAGAAAAAAAUCUUGAAAAUGGCCAAAAUGACUUCAACCAAAUAAAAAUCAAGUCGAGAAUGAACGAAAGGAUGGAAUAAAAACGGUGAAUGACAAACAGAGGAUAGACCGAUUCGUGGUUUCGUUUUUCGCGAGACGAAGCCUAAUAAAAACGUUAGUAACCUACCGUGAGAUGUUUCAAGUUUCAAGCCGGCUGGUGGCGCCAGGCUACGCUACAUUCUGUCCAGGGGUAGCUCGGUCUAUAUGCCGAUCUCGAUGUGGAGGGGAGGCUUGUGCCGGGAUAUCGCACACAGACACUGUAAAAUCAAAUUCUACACCGACUCACAUUUGUAGGGAUGGUGCAGCUCGAACUGGCCACCGAGCGGAAGGAGAAAAGGACUAUAGGGACACAAUGGAAGAGCGAGCGAGAUAAGUGGACGAGGAUGAACCGAUGGAGAGGGGUAGGUUGACCCUGCCGGGUCAAGAGAGAGACAGUCAUGUCACAGGAAAAGGGACAGCUACAAAGGUGUAAUUCGAUUCCGUUCUCAGAUAACAAAGCGAGCUGCAUAGAGUUAGGAAAGGAAAAGGAUGCAAUGAGCGAAGCAGGUUGAUUGCGGGAGAAAGAUGCAAGGAGGGAGGAGUUGGCCGACCCUGAGCAAGUGGACGAAUACCAAUCGCCAGUGGAUGACACCCGCCGUAUUCGACUGAAUUUUCAACGUGCUGGGCUAUGCUGAAUUUUUCAACUCGGUGGAUAUUCUGAACGGACUUUUUAGAAGCUGGCCUAUACACCGACAAAGAGAAUGGAUUUAUUAAGCUGUUUGAUAGUGGAAAAGAGGAUUGUGGAAGAUAUCGUGCAUGGCUCUUGAGGAUAUCAUUACGAAAAAUUUUAAGACCAUCGAAUACCCUAAUAAUAGGCAACCGGAUUGACAUAAUGGUAGAUCGGGCAAACAGGUAUAAAUUAUAUAUGUAAAUUGCAUACGAUCUUCAAGCGAUAAAUGUCAUCGUCUUACCUUCGUUUCCAGCGAUUUCUUCUGCAUGGUGUUGUGGAAUAAUCAAGGUCAUCAUGCAUGAAUGACGUCUUCGAAUGGAUUAUCCAAUUCUUGGCAGGUUGAUUCAAGAUGUGUUUUCGGAUAGUGAUAACUGGGGCCAUAUCUCGACGAGGAAUGUGAAACCCCCUGUACGUAUACUGAAUGUAUCCUGAGUGUAUUUCUGUCCGGUAUACCUUCAGUAUACGUAACAGGAGGCUACACCGAACUACGCUGUCAUCAUGGAUCACGUUGAUAUCCACCACUAAUCGUAAAUCCAUUUUAAACGGAUUACGAUGCUAUCUUUAUUACCAAUAUGGUUUAGAGCACUUGUGUACAUCAUCACUUUGCAUAAAUUGGAAUUGUAACUUGUUUUACAUAUUUAUAUUCGACGACUGAAUUACAAUUCGAUUAUAUAUCUUGUUAAAACUAAUGGAACUUGUUAGGUUAUGUGUUUGCUUGCGAGAGAAAGAAGUGAGGUUAAAAUAAAUGAACAAUCGAUGUUGUAAAUUAUGAUUUGUGUACUUGAGAAAGAAAUAAUUGUUAGGUUAUGUUGUGAUGCAGAGGAAAUGAGGUUAAGAUAGUUGAUUUUAUGGAUGAUUGUAGAUUGUUUUGUAUAUUGAUUAUUGAAAUAUUUUUAAAAUAAGAAAAUAAGUUAAAAAAAAUAGAUAGAUUUUAAAAACUUUUUGAUGAAAUUAGUAUUUAAAGUUUGUAGAUUGAAUUUGAAUUAAUAAAUGAUUAUACAAAAUAAUUGUCAACAUAAUGCAUAGCAA